RNAcentral lists this ribosomal RNA (301 nucleotides) under uncultured bacterium. RNAcentral describes it as "partial 16S ribosomal RNA". It matches the Rfam family "Bacterial small subunit ribosomal RNA", at positions 509 to 808 of the family's 1533-position model. The record is from RNAcentral.
CAGCAGCCGCGGUAAUACAGAGGGUGCGAGCGUUAAUCGGAUUUACUGGGCGUAAAGCGUGCGUAGGCGGCUUUUUAAGUCGGAUGUGAAAUCCCUGAGCUUAACUUAGGAAUUGCAUUCGAUACUGGGAAGCUAGAGUAUGGGAGAGGAUGGUAGAAUUCCAGGUGUAGCGGUGAAAUGCGUAGAGAUCUGGAGGAAUACCGAUGGCGAAGGCAGCCAUCUGGCCUAAUACUGACGCUGAGGUACGAAAGCAUGGGGAGCAAACAGGAUUAGAUACCCGUUAGUCCCUGUCUCUUAUACA